Molecule: long non-coding RNA, 389 nt
Filed under: Manihot esculenta (cassava)
Lineage: Eukaryota; Viridiplantae; Streptophyta; Magnoliopsida; Malpighiales; Euphorbiaceae
Description: long non-coding RNA (MESC_LNC006497)
Source: RNAcentral
UCGUUUUCUUGAGAUCGGCAUGAUGCUUUGGUACUUUUGGCUGUUGUGUGAGAUUAAAGUCUCUCUACCUGAUGACUUGAGCUCCUUUGGGAGGUCGGAGUUUAGCUUUUUCAUUUAUGGUCCCGUGCCCCAAUCUUUUAUGUGAGAUCAGAAUUAUGUUCUUUAUGAGUUGUUUUUGCUUGUUGCACCGGAUGAUCUUGGGGAUUCUGGCUAUUUUUGCUCCGGGAGAUCUUUGAGAUCUUUGCCGGUCUUCUACCUCAGUGAGGUCUUCUGCCUCAUUGAGGUCUUCUGCCUCAGUGAGGUUUUUUGCCUCUUUGAGGUCUUCUGCCUCUUUUAGGUCUUCUGCCUCUUUGAGGUCUUCUGCCUUAUUGAGGUCUUCUGCCUCUUUN